AGAGUUUGAUCAUGGCUCAGAACGAACGCUGGCGGCGUGGAUAAGACAUGCAAGUCGAGCGCUGAUUACGAGGUAGCAAUAUUUCGUAGUUGGAGCGGCGCAAGGGUGCGUAACACGUGGGUAAUCUGCCGUGAAGCCUGGAAUAACUUGCUGAAAGGCGAGCUAAUACCGGAUGUGAAAAUUGGGAGGCAUCUCUUGAUUUUCAAAGUUGGGGACUGUAAGGCCUGACGCUUCACGAUGAACCCGCGGCCUAUCAGCUAGUUGGUGAGGUAACGGCUCACCAAGGCUAAGACGGGUAGCUGGUCUGAGAGGACGACCAGCCACACUGGAACUGAGACACGGUCCAGACACCUACGGGUGGCAGCAGUCGAGAAUUUUUCACAAUGGGCGAAAGCCUGAUGGAGCGACGCCGCGUGGGGGAUGAAUGGCUUCGGCCCGUAAACCCCUGUCAUUUGCGAACAAACCUUGUUAUUUAAAAGAUGACAAGCUGAUUGUAGCGAAAGAGGAAGGGACGGCUAACUCUGUGCCAGCAGCCGCGGUAAUACAGAGGUCCCAAGCGUUGUUCGGAUUCACUGGGCGUAAAGGGUGCGUAGGUGGCGGGGGUAAGUCGGAUGUGAAAUCUCCGAGCUCAACUCGGAAAUGGCAUUGGAAACUACCUUGCUCGAGGGUUGGAGGGGGGACUGGAAUACUUGGUGUAGCAGUGAAAUGCGUAGAUAUCAAGUGGAACACCAGUGGCGAAGGCGAGUCCCUGGACAACUCCUGACACUGAGGCACGAAAGCUAGGGGAGCAAACAGGAUUAGAUACCCUAGUAGUCC
Molecule: ribosomal RNA, 816 nt
Filed under: uncultured bacterium
Lineage: Bacteria
Description: bacterial SSU rRNA
Rfam family: Bacterial small subunit ribosomal RNA
Source: RNAcentral